RNAcentral lists this unclassified non-coding RNA (240 nucleotides) under soil metagenome. RNAcentral's name for it is "partial internal transcribed spacer 1". The record is from RNAcentral.
UUGAAUGAACUUGGUGGGUUGUUGCUAGCCUCUAGGGGGCGUGUGCACAUCUGCCUUUGUUUCUUUCUUUUCAACCACCUGUGCACAUUUUGUAGACCUUGGAUAUCUUUCGAGGCAACUCGGUCCAGGGGGCUGUCGUUGUGACUGCUCCUGCAUUUUCCGGUCUAUGUCCUUUCAUAUACACACCAUUGCAUGUCCCAGAAUGUAUUACCUGGGCCUUUGAAGGCCCAUAAACCUAUA